Schistosoma haematobium is the source of this 92-nucleotide non-coding RNA. NCBI's taxonomy places the organism in Eukaryota, Metazoa, Platyhelminthes, Trematoda, Strigeidida, Schistosomatidae. The record is from Rfam.
UUUAUCUAUUUUUAGGUAUGAUUGUUGGUGCAAUGUGUGCAGUAACUGGUGUAUUAACAAUUUCAUUACCAGUACCAGUAAUUGUAUCCAAU